Molecule: non-coding RNA, 202 nt
Organism: Oryza glumipatula
Lineage: Eukaryota; Viridiplantae; Streptophyta; Magnoliopsida; Poales; Poaceae
Source: Rfam
UUUAAGUGCAAUCAUGAGUUUUCGUGCACAACUUUAAUCAUCCGUCUUAUUUAAAUUUUUUUAUAAUUAGCAUUUUUGUUAUUAUGAGAUGAUAAAACAUAAAUAAUACUUUUAUAUGUGACUUAUGCUUUUAUUUUUUUUAUCUUUUUCAAAUAAGACAGACGAUAAAAGUUGAGCACGAAAAAACAUGGCUGCACUUAAA